CCUACGGGUGGCAGCAGUGAGGAAUAUUGGUCAAUGGGCGCAAGCCUGAACCAGCCAAGUCGCGUGAGGGAUGACGGCCCUACGGGUUGUAAACCUCUUUUGCCGGGGAGCAACGGGCGUCACGUGUGGCGCCACUGAGAGUACCCGGAGAAAAAGCAUCGGCAAACUCCGUGCCAGCAGCCGCGGUAAUACGGAGGAUGCGAGCGUUAUCCGGAUUUAUUGGGUUUAAAGGGUGCGUAGGCGGAUCGUUAAGUCAGUGGUCAAAUUGAGGGGCUCAACCCCUUCCCGCGAGUGAAACUGGCGUUCUUGAGUGGAAGAGAAGUAUGCGGAAUGCGUGGUGUAGCGGUGAAAUGCAGAGAUAUCACGCAGAACCCCGAUUGGGAAGGCAGCAUGCCGGCUUCCGACUGACGCUGAAGCACGAAAGCGUGGGGAUCGAACAGGAUUAGAUACCCGUGUAGUC
Molecule: ribosomal RNA, 460 nt
Filed under: uncultured bacterium
Lineage: Bacteria
Description: partial 16S ribosomal RNA
Rfam family: Bacterial small subunit ribosomal RNA
Source: RNAcentral